Molecule: transfer RNA, 72 nt
Filed under: Psilorhynchus sucatio (river stone carp)
Lineage: Eukaryota; Metazoa; Chordata; Actinopteri; Cypriniformes; Psilorhynchidae
Description: tRNA-Asp
Rfam family: tRNA
About the family: Transfer RNA (tRNA) molecules are approximately 80 nucleotides in length. Their secondary structure includes four short double-helical elements and three loops (D, anti-codon, and T loops).
Source: RNAcentral
AAGAUAUUAGUAAAAUAGUGAUUACAUCACCUUGUCAAGAUGAAAUAGUGGGUUAAAACCCCGCAUAUCUUA